CAGGAGAUAGUUUAGUAAAAACGCCAGCUUUGGGAGCUGGUGAGAGAGGUUUGAGCCCUUUUCUCCUGA
RNAcentral lists this transfer RNA (69 nucleotides) under Atrichornis clamosus. It matches the Rfam family "tRNA". From Rfam's summary of the family: Transfer RNA (tRNA) molecules are approximately 80 nucleotides in length. Their secondary structure includes four short double-helical elements and three loops (D, anti-codon, and T loops). The record is from Rfam by way of RNAcentral. Lineage: Eukaryota; Metazoa; Chordata; Aves; Passeriformes; Menuridae.